GUCUACGAUGAUGCCACCCUGGACGCUCCCAAUCUUGUCUGAUCUUGGAAGCUAAGCAGGGUCAGGCCUGGUUAGUCCCUGGAUGGGAAAGAUAGUAAAUAUAUUGAACUGAGGUUAUCAAUUGUGGUUU
RNAcentral lists this ribosomal RNA (130 nucleotides) under Nannospalax galili (Upper Galilee mountains blind mole rat). Lineage: Eukaryota; Metazoa; Chordata; Mammalia; Rodentia; Spalacidae. The record is from RNAcentral.